GCCGCGCUAGCUCAGUGGUAGAGCAAUGGUUUUGUAAACCAUAGGUCCGCAGUUCGAUCCUGUGGCGCGGCACCA
Molecule: transfer RNA, 75 nt
Filed under: Alphaproteobacteria bacterium
Lineage: Bacteria; Pseudomonadati; Pseudomonadota; Alphaproteobacteria
Description: tRNA-Thr
Rfam family: tRNA
About the family: Transfer RNA (tRNA) molecules are approximately 80 nucleotides in length. Their secondary structure includes four short double-helical elements and three loops (D, anti-codon, and T loops).
Source: RNAcentral